This 57-nucleotide transfer RNA is filed under the name Alphaproteobacteria bacterium. RNAcentral describes it as "tRNA-Lys". It matches the Rfam family "tRNA", at positions 8 to 62 of the family's 71-position model. Rfam says of the family: Transfer RNA (tRNA) molecules are approximately 80 nucleotides in length. Their secondary structure includes four short double-helical elements and three loops (D, anti-codon, and T loops). The record is from RNAcentral. Lineage: Bacteria; Pseudomonadati; Pseudomonadota; Alphaproteobacteria.
UAGCUCAGCCGGUAGAGCAACUGACUUUUAAUCAGUAGGUCUCGGGUUCGAAUCCCG